UACACACCGCCCGUCACGCCAUGGAAGCUCGGAGUGCCCGAAGUCCGUGUCGGAACCGCAAGGACCAAGCGGCCGAAGGCAAGCCGAGUGACUGGGGCG
This 99-nucleotide ribosomal RNA is filed under the name uncultured bacterium. Its description in RNAcentral is "partial 16S ribosomal RNA". It matches the Rfam family "Bacterial small subunit ribosomal RNA", at positions 1384 to 1482 of the family's 1533-position model. The record is from RNAcentral.